CGGCCGCGCAGGGCCCCAGCGGCUCCCCGGCAGAAAGCUGCGGCCUGGGAGAGCGGUUCGCUCAUGUCACGCAGGGGCUGGACGCGCCACGCGCGGUUGGUCCCUCACUGGUUUUCCUGGCAGGCCAGAAAAAGCCUUCGUGCCCCACGGGAUACCAACGCGCUGUGAAACCCCCCGUCCCUCGGCCGCCAGCGCCGGCGUCACGGCUUGGCACUGGUCUCUGCAUUUAGCUACACUCCUCCAUAGCAACCGGCGGGAUCACGGCUUGGCGGGCCGCCGGCGAAGGCUGGGGUGUGCAGAACGAGCCACACUGCGAACGCGGUGUUUGUACGUGUUAGUACGUGCACAGGACAGGAGCUGCAGCCCCGUCUGCUCUCCUGGUGCUGGGACCCACCGCUGCUGGCACGGCUGCUUUGCUCGUGGCAGAGGGCCUGAGGCUGCGCAAGGAGCUGGAUGCUCUUCCCUACAGCAUGCAGCCGUCGAGAGCCACGAGUGGGACCCAGACUGCUCGACCCAGGGAUGAGCUUGGUGCAGCUCCACUGCCUUCUCCUGGGCACCAUAAAAUGGUCACACAGAUGUCCAUGUCCACAGGGCUGUGGCACUGCAAUGACAACAGCACAGAAAUGCAAUCAGGGGGCCAAGGAUGGGAGUUCUGGUCCUCUCAUCUCAAAAAGGAUAAAUGAGACCUGAAAAAAGUUUGGAUGCUCAUACAUAUGCAACAGACUUUGUACAGUGAAGAACUGUGCAGGCUGGGACUCUUCAGCCUGGAAGAAGGACAAGGAGUGGGGGAGGAGGUCUACAAAAUCAUGAGUGACCCAGAAAGGAUGGGGAAGGAUUGACUGUUUACUGUUUCUUCUGACACAGACCUAUCAACCGCUUUUGCCUUGACUGGAGCCUCAAAUGAAUGUGAAACCAUUGUGCUGCAGAUGUUACGUCCAAAAGUUUAGCACUGUCUUAGCCCACGCUUCUUGCAACACUUGGGGCUAAGUUCAUGGCAAGCCUUUGAGAGGCGGGCUCAAGAGAGCGGUGCCUCGGAAACAUUUUGUAACCAUGUUUUCACGUGGAGAGCUUGACCAUGGCCAAGUGGAGCUUUACCAAACUGCUCAACAUGAAAAUAUUCAGAGCUGGGAGGAGAACAAAUCCUGGAUGAAGCUGGACAAA
Molecule: long non-coding RNA, 1161 nt
Organism: Dromaius novaehollandiae (emu)
Lineage: Eukaryota; Metazoa; Chordata; Aves; Casuariiformes; Dromaiidae
Exons: 3
Source: RefSeq, a predicted model, not a curated record